GGCUCAGAUUGAACGCUGGCGGCAGGCUUAACACAUGCAAGUCGAGCGGAUUACAGAGCUUGCUCUGUAGUUAGCGGCGAACGGGUGAGUAAUACCUAGGAAUCUGCCUAUUAGUGGGGGAUAACGUGUGGAAACGCACGCUAAUACCGCAUACGUCCUACGGGAGAAAGCAGGGGAUCUUCGGACCUUGCGCUAAUAGAUGAGCCUAGGCCAGAUUAGCUAGUUGGUAGGGUAAAGGCCUACCAAGGCGACGAUCUGUAGCUGGUCUGAGAGGAUGGCCAACCACACUGGAACUGAGACACGGUCCAGACUCCUACGGGAGGCAGCAGUAGGGAAUAUUGGACAAUGGGCGAAAGCCUGAUCCAGCCAUGCCGCGUGAUAGAUGAAGGCCCUCUGGGUUGUAAAUAUCUUUUAUCUGGGAAGAAACUCCUCUAUUCUUAGAGGCCUGACGGUACCAGAGGAAUAAGCACCGGCUAACUCCGUG
This 484-nucleotide ribosomal RNA is filed under the name uncultured bacterium. RNAcentral describes it as "bacterial SSU rRNA". It matches the Rfam family "Bacterial small subunit ribosomal RNA", at positions 21 to 507 of the family's 1533-position model. The record is from RNAcentral.